GCUCAUGGCUCAGGAUGGACGCUAGCUACAGGCUUAACACAUGCAAGUCGAGGGGCAGCAUGGUCUUAGCUUGCUAAGGCCGAUGGCGACCGGCGCACGGGUGAGUAACACGUAUCCAACCUGCCGUCUACUCUUGGACAGCCUUCUGAAAGGAAGAUUAAUACAAGAUGGCGUCAUGAGUCCACAUGUUCACAUGAUUAAAGGUAUUCCGGUAGACGAUGGGG
RNAcentral lists this ribosomal RNA (224 nucleotides) under uncultured bacterium. RNAcentral describes it as "partial 16S ribosomal RNA". It matches the Rfam family "Bacterial small subunit ribosomal RNA", at positions 15 to 230 of the family's 1533-position model. The record is from RNAcentral.